Molecule: ribosomal RNA, 394 nt
Filed under: uncultured bacterium
Lineage: Bacteria
Description: bacterial SSU rRNA
Rfam family: Bacterial small subunit ribosomal RNA
Source: RNAcentral
AUUGAACGCUGGCGGCAUGCCUUACACAUGCAAGUCGAACGGCAGCGGACCUUCGGGUGCCGGCGAGUGGCGAACGGGUGAGUAAUAUAUCGGAACGUACCUUUCAGUGGGGGAUAACGUAGCGAAAGUUACGCUAAUACCGCAUAUUCUGUGAGCAGGAAAGCAGGGGAUCGCAAGGCCUUGCGCUGAUUGAGCGGCCGAUAUCAGAUUAGCUAGUUGGUGAGGUAAAGGCUCACCAAGGCGACGAUCUGUAGCGGGUCUGAGAGGAUGAUCCGCCACACUGGAACUGAGACACGGUCCAGACUCCUACGGGAGGCAGCAGUGGGGAAUUUUGGACAAUGGGCGCAAGCCUGAUCCAGCCAUGCCGCGUGAGUGAAGAAGGCCUCGGUUGUAA